GGGGUCAUCAGUAAGGCACUCAAUCACCUUAAUAUCCUGUGACACCCCUUAUAAGGCUGCUGUUAUGUUCUGGUGGUUGUCAGGAAUAAAUGUACAACAUUGCGUCUCUACAAGGGCACAGCUGCCACAUUGGGCAGCUCUGACCAUGUCUAAGGCCAUCCGGUUUUGCAGAACCAACUUCCUGAUCUGAUUGACUUCAUCAGUUAACAAAAAGGAGAGCAACUCGGGUGUAAUUCAGGGCCCAAACUGUGUGCUCUGCAAGGGCUGUAACUUGCAUUUCUACAGUAGCGACACCUGCUCUAGGGAUAGUUAUCGCUUAGGGGUAGAGUCACUAGGGGGCUUGCUGAACUCGUAAAAACCAGGAACAUAGCACCUUCCAGUUAGGUGGAUGACUAGGCAAUGUGGGAAACACAGUGGCAGGCACAGAAAGCCACCCCCAGGUACAACGUCCAGUCCAAUUGGCUGGUAGAUAUGGCCAUCCUGUGUCCCCACAGACCCAUAAACUCCCUGGGGGCAUAAAGUCCAUGAAGGUCCAGCCUUGGUAAGGCAACUUAUUCCACCACACCCUUGGUUUCGCGGCAUGUGUUAUGUUUGCACAAACCUCAGCAAUAAUCCCUCAGUGACUUUACCCCAGUGCUCCCCUAUACAUCAUGGUACCUGCAAUGGGGGCACCACAUGUUUUCCCGUUAGCCAGCCCCAUCCAUCAUGGACACUAUAAGUCAGCCAGUGGCAGGCUUGCCAUGGGUUUUGGGACGUCCCCCUAUCCAAAGCCCACCAUUGCAUUGUCUAUUGAACACCAAGUCUCUAGCCAUGUCCAGUUCUGCACAGAAGCUGGAUGCACGUUCCAGGGCAAGCUGCCUGCAGCUGCUGCUGAAAGGGUGGUGCAGAUACAACAGUUGAAGACAUUGGUCACCUCAGUGUAGGUGUGGGCCCAGAACAUGAUGCUGUUGGAGCAUGCCACCUAUGGCUGGAAUGACAAAGCAAGCACAGGUACUAACAGGGGUAAAUCAUGUCCCUCAGGCAAAAUACAGGCCAACUUUUCACCUCUCGAUAACAGUGCAGCCACCAAGGGCAUUUGCCCUGGGUGAUGAUACCACACCUUAUCAGCUCCCUGUGGUCCUUUUGGGUGCUGUACCCAUGCCAAACACACAGGGGAGCUUAUGCUAAGCCACACAGACAGUACACAUGCCCUCUGGAGGAGAGUCUCUUCCCUGGCCGUUCCCCUAUGCAUGGUUAAUUGUGGAGGCCACACAUUAAAUACCCAAGGAGUAACAUGUAAGUUAUACUGCAGCCCCUCCCCCCAGGGGGCUAUGAUAGCCAACCAUCUGCAAUGAGGUGCUUGGAGGGUCCAUGGCUAACACCAGGUUUUUCUGUUCCCCUGCCUUUAGGGGUACUGGGGCAGGCAAUAACAGAUUACUGUUCAACCCUGUACCUGGUUGGAGAAGGUUGUUCUUCCUCUCAUAGAUCUGGCCACAUGGCCUGGCCCUACAUGGGUCGAUGACUAACUAGCUAAUUCUGUAACUUCUAGGUAAUUAACCACAAAGUUAAGCCUUGAUAAAUUGCCUAGCUACUAGUACAGAUUACCACAGGUGUCAUCUCCUUGGUGAUCACAGUCCAUAUUGCCUUGAGUUCAACUUAUUAGCUACUUUAUUUACACCUGGUUUUAAACCAUAUUGUGUCAGUACUAGGCUGGACUGUAGCAGCAAUCCAGGCAGCAGCAGUACUCUGGCUAUACCUACCUGUAUACUAUGCCUCAUUAGGAAUGGGAGGAUGCCCUUCCUUAUGGUAAAGGCUCAGGGUCUAGAGGUGCCUCAGACCCCAUGACUUUAUCUUGCAUUAGGACUAUAGGCUUCAAGACCUAUUGUAAUUUUACUCCUAAGAGACCAGUACUCAGUGUACUCUGCUGCUCUAAGUAGGUGCCCCACUUCGCUAAAGUGGAUGUCUGUGCCUUCCCUAUCCAGGGGGUUGUUUCCCAUGAAUGCCCAAUCUCACAAUUACUAACUGCUUCUCUAUCAAGGAAUACUGGGGCUCAGCUCCCUUCCACAGCUGGGAACAAAAGCCUAUUGGCAUACUCAGGUGCUCUAUGCACUGCUAUAGGCCCUAACUGAAACUCUGUUGUCACAGGCACAUCUAGUUUAAAUGGGCACCUCUGGUCCACUACCCGUAUGGCUUGUGCCUGCUAAAUAGCCCGCUAGGCUACCAGAAAGACUGUCUCAGGAGCAUCAUCCCAAUCCCAGGCAAGAAGAACAUUGCCACUUCUAAAUCUGCAGGAGAAUCAGAGGUUAACAUGACAUCAUUAAUAAAAUAAUGACACGUGGUGGGGCUAUGAAUAUAGCCCUGCAGCAACACUGUGAAAGUCCAUUGUCACCCUCCCAUGAAAGCAAACUGUUCCUGCCUCUCUGGAACAAUGUCGACUGAGAGGAAUGCAUUGGUCAAUUCCACCACAUAGUGGCAUUGUCUCAGUUCUGUUGUCAAGAAGUUCAUCAAAUCCAUGAUAGAAGGUACAGAUACAUGCAGAAGGAGUAUUACUUUAUUCAGUUUCCGAUAAUCCACUGUUAUCUGCCAAAUCCCAUCAGGCUUUCUGACUGGCCAUAAUGGAAAAUGGUAGGGGCUAUGGAUGCCACACACUAUUUGCACCUCCUCUAACUUCUUAAUAGUCUCAGUUACCUCUGUAUUCCCCCCUGGCAAACGGUACUGAUGAGUGGAAGUAACCUGUCAGGGUUGUGGCAGAACUUGGGGCUGGUGAUGUGUAUGUUCACCCAGUACUGGCUUUACUGCAUGGACUCAGAAUCUGGAUUCUCUGGCCGUGGUGUGCAAGCCCAGACCAUGCAAAAUGUCCACCCCCAGAAUAUAUUCAGGUAUAGGAGAAACAUACACAGUGUACAGGUGGGGAGCCAAGCGGCCAAUGCCAAGAUGCAGAGACACAGGCUUCACCUUCACCGACUGGCUCCCAUAACCGUCCAUAAAUGCAGCUUUGCCUAGAAAUUUAUCUGGGUUCCCAUAAACUAGACUGCAGUCUGCACCAGUAUCUAUCAGUGCUAGGACCCGCGGUACAUUAGUGGGGGACCAGUGGAUUGCCAGCUCCACAUAUAGCCUCUGGUUGUCUAGUUCCCCCUGCCAAGCUGGCGACCUCGGCCAGUUCCCUAAUCAAACAAGAAAGGCUCUGUAUCUCUGCCUGUCUGCAAAUAGUCCUUGAGUUGCAGCGUCUGGGAGGGAUUAGGUUGAACAACAUUGUUUUGCCCCCCACACCUUAGGCAUUUUCUGGAAUUGCUGCUCCCGGGACAAUUGCCUUCACAGAGUCAACAACAUUCCAUUGGGUUGCCCGUCAAUUUUCUCCCGAGCAACCCCAGCUGCAAGUAAAUCAAUCCACAUCUGCAUGCAGGUCACCUCCUGGAGCCCCUUUUUAUCUGGUGGGGUGGUUAACUGCGGAUGAGGCAUUUUCUCCCUCCUUACGGUGCGGAUUCUCCGGUCCUGCGAAUGGCCUUCUGCCUCCCUGAGGGCUGCCAGAGCAGUAGUCACUUCAUGUAUGCGGCACCCCACAUACUGGGUGAGAACAGCGGCUAGAAAGCCAUAAGGGUUCGGGGUGCUGAACUCAGCACAAGAUCCCUCAUGUGGGAGGUAAAGCGUUCAUCAUCUGGCCCCAUGGUAAUCAGACCAAACAUAGCCUGCCGCAUACCUAUCUCCAAGAGUAUCUGCACCAAAUUAGUAUGUGAUUGCCAUUUACUCACAGUUUGUAGUAUCUCUCUGGCAUCAUUGAAAACAGUCCAUAUGACUGUCAUUAGCCACUUGAUUAAUGUGUGGCCACCUUGCUCUUGUGCCAACCGUUGGCACAGCUGCAGCUGCUGACGAAGGGAGGGGUGAGUUGUGAUAGAAGUCAGCUUCUCCAUCUCAGAGGCGGAACAAAAAAUGCUAUCAGCUCCCUCAGACGCUGCCGGCACUAUUUACCUAAUUCCCACAACUCACUGGGGUUAUAAGCAUAAUAAGAGGCGUGUUCCACCACUGUGGACGGGGUCCCUGGGCUUUCCCCUAGGGUCCCAUCAGCUGCUUAUGUUCUACCUUCUGACGGAUCACAGGAGGAGCCUGCAGCGGAGGAGCCUCCUCCUCCUCAGCAUCAGACCUAAAGGGAGUGUCCUGCCUGAAGGACCGGCUCAAGGUCGCACUAACAGCUCUUGCUAACUCCUGUUCCAGGCUGUUUAUCUGGGCCUCCAAGUACCCUGCUUGCGCCUGGAGGUCUCUCACCCCCAGGUCCUGCUCAAAGCUGUGCACUUGGGCCCCCAGGCAUGCGGCUUGCUCCGGAAGGUCCCUUACCUGUGGCACUGAGCAUGUACUUCCUGCAGUGCAGUUAGAAAUGCCCAUCCGACUCUGCUUGCAAAGUUCCUUUAUUUAUAGGCACAGCUGCUUAAAGACUGUUACCGGAAAGGAAUCCUGAUCCAGACGCCAAGAGAGGGUUCUUGGACUCAUGCAAGAAAGACUUCAGAAUACGAGUUUUGAAUUUUUGAAUUGCUGUUAAAACUUUCAUCAUGAACACUGAAGUGAGUGAAAAGAGACUUUUGCAGUCAUUUUUUUGCUGGCUGCAGAUGACAGUGACACCCUGGGAGUUGAGAAAUGCUUGUAAGAUGGAAGGAGGCUGUGUCCCUGAAUGAUCACCUGGAAGAGAGCCACCUUAGCCAAUGAAACUCCUGCUAUGAAUGUUUGCUGAGCAAGAAAUAUACUUACUGCUUUAUAUGCCUUUGAAGCUAUAGGUUCAUAUUGUUACCACAAUUUAAAGUGCUAUAAUAAAAAGAGUUCAGGAAGCAGGCACAUGGAAGCAAUAAGAGCAACAAACAUUUACACAGUUCUCAGGUCCCUGGACCAUGAAGGGCCACAUCCAAGGAGCUACCCCAGGAGGCCUCUCAUUUGCAUUUGUCCCCGCUAAUGCAGGACAGAGAUCAUGGAAGUUGGGCCCGACUGGAUGAGAUUUGGGGGUCUUUGGAAGUGGAGAAUGUGUUUGCCCUGGGGAAGAGAGGUGAUGUCUAGGAGACCUCUUCACUCAGGGCAAGCUCUAUGACCUGCUUUGACUCCAGAAUGUGGUAGAAGUGGCAUCACAUAAAUUGCAGAGCCUAGGCUUCAAGAGACCUUGCAACUUGCCUCUCACUGACUUGAAGUGCUCCCAUCAGAGCAUCUUGUAAGGAGCAGGUGGAGCAUGUGGACAAGCCAUCCCCACCAGCCCCUGAGACAUGUGAGAGAGGCCAGAACAGGCCAUCCGGACCCCACUGUGCUGGUGGAUGAGACAGCAGAAGGAAUAUCAACCUACCAACAGAAUCCUGAGAAAUGCUCACUCUUACUUCAAGCUGCUGCAUUUUGAUGUUAUGAAACCAUAAAUAACUUAUGAAGUCAUCUUUGCUGACUUAAAGUUUUCCAUAACUUUAUUAUAACAUAUCAAAAUUAUGAAAAAUGUGAAAAGUAGAAAACUGAUGAAUUUUGCUUCUUCAUAUGGUCUUUAAGAAUCUCAAAGGCACUGAAGUUUUUUAUCUUUUCUGUCUUAGAAUAAAAAACCUUGAAUGAAAAUCUGCUUCUUGGAAAAGCAGCAAGGUUUAUGCAGAGGCAAUCUGGUAUUUGUGUGCACUGGCAGCUGAUCAUACCCAGCAUGCACGCACUCUCAGGGCAGAGUCUGAUGCCCCACAUAAUGGGGCAUGGUAAGGACUCCCAUGUCCUUGAGAUAAAAUGAUAAGGAAAAUACACACUGCUAUUAGAAUAACAGGCCCAGCUUCUGCACAUUUUAAUUCCCAAAGUUUUCAUGAAAGACAAUGAUUUUUUGGUACCAUGUUUAACUCUACAAGAAUCAGUAGUGAAAACUAAAAAUGAUACUUUGUGAAAGUUCAUUAAUUUUGUUUUCAGCCAGUGGUGGCCUUGGUCAGAUAGAAUCAAAUCUAUGAUACUUUUUAUCAGAAAUGCUUAUACUGUGUACAAACCCAAAGUGAUGGCUUUCAAAGAUUGAAUUUGAUUAUUUUCUGUAUGGUGCAGAUGAAAAAUUACUACACAGGAGAAGGUGGGUUGGAGGUGCUCACGAGUAACCAGGAAACAGUCUGAAGUUUUUCUGAUACUUCUCCUUGGUCCAACCAAAUGUGAGAUAUAAACACAAACUUGGGAUUCCGUUCUUAUGUUUUGGUUGUUUCAGUCUUUACAGAUGUAUCGAAAGGCUGUCCAAAAAUGUCUGACUUCUGUAGUGUGCCUUCGUAGCACUAGAGGGUUCUGCAGCUGUGAAACUGAAGGCAUUGGCAAGAAGCCCUCCAUCUUCAAACCACUUUCUGCUAAGGUGUGGCUCUAUAAAACCACUAUGAGCUGGGCUUCACUGAGACUGAGUUGUUUCAGUAGGAUCUUCCGGAAAAACAUGUUCCCUCCUUUACCUGGGUUGUCAUUCUGAGAACAAUCACACCUCCAAUUUUGGCUUACUAAGCAAUAGCGUUUUAAUGAUUUUAAGCCAGGAUUUGCUCCUCCUUUCCUCAGUAUGAGAGCUUAACCACUGGAGGAACCAAGAAUUCAUGCUGGUUGGGUUCUGAUUCCACUUUAACUUACUGUAUAGCCUCAUCCCUUGUUUUUCUGGAGAUUCUCUUUUUCUGCUUCACUGAUUUAUAUUUACAUUAAAAUCAAAUGAGGCCAUGUUUCUGAAAUCACAUUGUCCCUACAUGGUCAUUACAAUGAGUCUGUAAUGUGACUGAAAGACAGCCAUGGAUACAGGUAGAGGAUAUCAGGCAAUUGAAUGCUCAUCAAGCAUUCAAUUCAGGGCAAAUGGCAUAAGGUAUGCAGUUGGCCUCUUCUGAUAUCUGUGUCUUAAUCCUUUCUUUAGCCUCUGUUUUCUGGACCAAGGCUAAGAUAUUUUCUGGGCACAGUGGCUCAUGCCUAUAAUCCCAGCACUCUGGGAGGCCAAGGUGGGAGGAUUUCUUCAGCCC
RNAcentral lists this long non-coding RNA (6929 nucleotides) under Homo sapiens (human). RNAcentral describes it as "HSALNT0346784". The record is from RNAcentral. Lineage: Eukaryota; Metazoa; Chordata; Mammalia; Primates; Hominidae.